Molecule: ribosomal RNA, 3127 nt
Filed under: Orbilia pleistoeuonymi
Lineage: Eukaryota; Fungi; Ascomycota; Orbiliomycetes; Orbiliales; Orbiliaceae
Description: eukaryotic LSU rRNA
Rfam family: Eukaryotic large subunit ribosomal RNA (bases 2495-3127)
Source: RNAcentral
CCUUAGAUGUUCUGGGCCGCACGCGCGCUACACUGACAGUCCCAACGAGUACGCUUGGUCGAGAGUCCUGGCUAAUCUUGUUAAAGACUGUCGUGCUGGGGAUAGAGCAUUGCAAUUAUUGCUCUUCAACGAGGAAUAUCUAGUAAGCGCGAGUCAUCAGUUCGCGUUGAUUACGUCCCUGCCCUUUGUACACACCGCCCGUCGCUACUACCGAUUGAAUGGCUCAGUGAGGCCUUCGGACUGGCUCAGGGAGGUCGGCAACGACCACCCAGAGCCGGAAAGUUGGUCAAACUUGGUCAUUUAGAGGAAGUAAAAGUCGUAACAAGGUUUGAAUAAUGCAUCCUUCUUGCAGUGACGCUUAUGAGAAGCCUUUGUGGCCCCGCAAGGUACUCGCCGCGACUAUAAACAAGCAUGUGGGUAUUAAAUCGCAAGUCAGUUCAGGCUGGCAACACUUUCGAAUUGCGGGGAUACCCUAAAGCCCAUCUCUACCAACUCAGCAGGGAAACUUAGCUGAGGGCCUGUGUUAACACCACAGGAUGGUAACAAGGAGAUGGGAUAAUUUAGUAUGGGUAAUCCGCAGCCAAGUCCCUAAGGUAGUUCUUUCUGCUAUGGGAAAGGUUCACAGACUAAGUGGAAGUGGGCUGGAAGAUAAGGUCUUCCAGCUUAAGAUAUAGUCGGGCCCUUUGAGAAAUCUUAGGGGAGUCACUAAAGCAAUUGAUCACAAUUUGACAAGCGGGAAUAAAAGCUGGUUAUAGUAAACAUCUUAAAUCUAUUCGACCUAUAAAACUCUCUUUUCUAUGCGGGGUGGGUUGAAGGGUUCAAUGAAGAAUAAAGUUGCUUGGGCCGUAGCAUCUAAGAGUAUGCACCGGCUAAGAAGUGUGUAACAACUUACCAAGUAAUGGGGUGUGAAGGAUUGGUUUGGGGUGUGCUGGGUACAUUAGGGUCUGUCCAUGUAUUCAACUCGUCUUCUAUUCUUUCAUCAUAUUCUUGUUCUACAUUGGCGCUUCUCUUCCUACUUCUGCUCGGGCACCUCGGUCUUCGUCCCUCUGCCCUCAAUGGAUACCUUCAAUCCGUCUAUCUCAACACUCAAUGCUGCCGUCCGGCAAGUUAUCAACAACAACAACUUCAUCCGAGAGAACCCUCACCUCACCGAUGUUGAGCUUCGAAGGCUGCGAGAAAACCUCGAAUGGCCUCGCAAGCCAGUCUAUACUCCGUAUGCUAUCACCCAUCAUGGUUAUUCCCAGAUGCGUGUGGCUGGGGUUAAAGUUAUGACGCAUCGAAUCACAUACUGGCAAUAUACGCAGCAAAACCCGAAAAACUAUGAUAUCUCACAUACUUGUUUCUUGGGUGGGCGGACUACUCGCAACAUCAACCCGCGGUUUUUCGAGCUUGAGGACAACAAUCUAAAUCAGUCCCGCAAAUGCUGUCAUAUGUUUAUUGAGCGGCAGCUCAAGAAACGAUUUGCAGUGCUUGUUGGUCCUGACCCUCCACCCCGACUUUGUGCAGAGGGUUUCCAAGAUUGGUUCGAGCGGGAGUGCCUCCAGCCUAAUGGGGCGUGCAGAGAGUUGCAUUCUAGCAAUCUCUGUACUACCUGUUGGACUGAAUGGCUCCAGGACUUUCAAGAAGAGAUUCUGUUAGUGCCUGCAACAGACCCUGCCGAAUCAUAUCAGGAAGCCCUUGUGCGACUGUCCUCUCCUCCUCCGCCUACCUCCUCUCCACCACCAUCCUCUCCUCCUCGGCCAGCAUACAAUUAGGAUUCCUGGGAAAGAGUUUAUACUAGAUAGAAUUUAAAGAAUAUAAAGAUGUUGAAAGAACUUUGAUGGCUUCUCUCCCCUUGUUAACAUACAAGGUCAAUCUCCAAUUUUGGAAUUUUGGACAUACUGUUCCGUAGGUGAACCUGCGGAAGGAUCAUUACCAAAAAAUUAAAAGCCUCCUAGUAACACCAUUGCUUGGAUGGCUGCCUGGCGGGAGCAACCCUCAACCGGGUCCCGCCUAGGUUUUUCAACCAUGUGAACCAAAACCUUUUUCGCUUCGGCAGCACGCCUGGCUGGGAGACCAGUCUGCGCGGUCAGCCUGCCGGCAGCACCCAAUCUAAACUCAAUUGUAACCAAACUUUCUGUCUGAAAACAUAUUUUCGAAUGAAAAUUAAAACUUUCAACAACGGAUCUCUUGGUUCUCGCAUCGAUGAAGAACGCAGCGAAACGCGAUAGUUAAUGUGAAUUGCAGAAUUCAGUGAAUCAUCGAGUCUUUGAACGCACAUUGCGCCCCCUGGUAUUCCGGCGGGCAUGUCUGUUUGAGCGUCAUUUCAACCCCUCGUGUAGUUGACUUUUUGUCAGCCGGCACGGUGUUGGGCUCCCAACCGGCCUUCAAAAGCCGGUGGGCCUUAAAGUUGAACGCUCUGCUGGUGACUCAAACCGAACCGAACAUAGUAAUCUCUCUUGUUCAGCCUAGGUAGAGACCACCAAGCCUGUACAAAACCUCAUUUUCUCAGGUUUGACCUCAGAUCAGACAAGGAUACCCGCUGAACUUAAGCAUAUCAAUAAGCGGAGGAAAAGAAACCAACAGGGAUUGCCUCAGUAACGGCGAGUGAAGCGGCAACAGCUCAAAUUUGAAAUCUGGAGUCUUCGACUUCCGAGUUGUAAUUUGAAGAGGAUGCUUCGGUUGUGACCAUGGUCUAAAUUCUUUGGAACAAGAUGUCAUAGAGGGUGAGAAUCCCGUCUACGGCUGAUGGUCUACUUCCAUGUGUAGCUCCUUCGAAGAGUCGAGUUGUUUGGGAAUGCAGCUCUAAAUGGGUGGUAAAUUUCAUCUAAAGCUAAAUACUGGCGAGAGACCGAUAGCGCACAAGUAGAGUGAUCGAAAGAUGAAAAGAACUUUGAAAAGAGAGUUAAACAGUACGUGAAAUUGUUGAAAGGGAAGCGCUUGCAAUCAGACUUGCUUGCGGUUGAUCAACGUUCCUUUUGGUGCGUGCACUCUGCCGUUCGCAGGCCAGCAUCGGUUGAGGCGGUGGGAAAAAGACUGCGGGAAUGUGGCUCUCUUCGGGGAGUGUUAUAGCCCGCUGUGUAAUGCCACCUGUCUCGACCGAGGACCGCGCGUAAGCUAGGAUGCUGGCUUAAUGGUUGUAAGCGAC